RNAcentral lists this transfer RNA (76 nucleotides) under Agrobacterium rubi. RNAcentral's name for it is "tRNA-Thr". It matches the Rfam family "tRNA". Rfam says of the family: Transfer RNA (tRNA) molecules are approximately 80 nucleotides in length. Their secondary structure includes four short double-helical elements and three loops (D, anti-codon, and T loops). Further hydrogen bonds mediate the characteristic L-shaped molecular structure. tRNAs have two regions of fundamental functional importance: the anti-codon, which is responsible for specific mRNA codon recognition, and the 3' end, to which the tRNAs corresponding amino acid is attached (by aminoacyl-tRNA synthetases). tRNAs cope with the degeneracy of the genetic code in two manners: having more than one tRNA (with a specific anti-codon) for a particular amino acid; and 'wobble' base-pairing, i.e. permitting non-standard base-pairing at the 3rd anti-codon position. The record is from RNAcentral. Lineage: Bacteria; Pseudomonadati; Pseudomonadota; Alphaproteobacteria; Hyphomicrobiales; Rhizobiaceae.
GCCCUUAUAGCUCAGUUGGUAGAGCGGCUGAUUUGUAAUCAGUAGGUCGGGGGUUCAAGUCCCUCUGGGGGCUCCA